GGUGUUUGAGUUCCAUUUGAAAGUGCGGGAGGCGGACAUCAUUGCUGAGACUCUGCAUAGGGAUCUACCAAAGCAAAGAGCUCAGGCUAAGAGCCCAUGAAAUAACAAUGUCUCACAAUCCAUGGCAUCUUGGAUCUGAUGAAAUACAGUAGUGCUUACCAAGCCCAAGGCAUCGUUCGUCUCGGCCUCACCACCACCCUGGGAGGAUAAGUACUAUUCUUUUCCACACUUCACAGCACCUGGCUCUGGGAGGCCUUCUCCUCAUCCUACACCUGGAUCCAGAGGAUGUUUGUGCCAAAGGAAAGGACAGCAGGUUAUUAUGCGGACAACGAAGCUUUCAACGAAGACAGCACACCACCGAGCCUUGCUUUCAGACCCAAAGCUUCCAAAACUGAGCAUCAGGUUACCUGCCCUGAAAAGAAGCUAUUUUAUCAGAUAACCAAUGCUAAGCUUCCCUCCCCCCCACCCCAUCAGCUAGCAGCUUAUCUGGAAUGCAUUUUAGAAAGACUGAUGGCCCUGUUGGACUCAAAGAAGCCACCCCCAAAAAAAUUGUAUAAAAAGAUUUAUUGAAAUUUAUCAAUGACAAACAGACAUAAAACUCAAAAGUUUGGCUCUUCUGAGGGGGGAGGAGAGAAACCGGUGCAGAUGUUCUUUUAUACAGAUGAAACACGGGCUAGGAAAUCACACGUCACUUCUAAAGCAAUCCAGAAGAGGGACAUGAAAGCAAACCUGUACAUUCACUAGGAAUUUGCAGUCAUUUCAGAUUUCCACUAGGUAAGAAAAUACAAUUUUGCGUUAGUUUUUCCGUGCUCGGGCGUAUGAAAAACAAACCCAGCCGACAUGCAGCAGCGGCUCCCGCACUCAGGCCUGUAAAAAACGGUCUCAGCACAGAAGUACACGUGGAGGGGUUCUCUUGUCAUUUCGUAAAACAAAGCGCUCUAGUAUUUUACAGAACAAGAUAGGACACUUUUUUUUGUUUGUUUUGUUUUUUAAAUCUUUUAAAGAGGUUGACGUUUGAGGGUUUGCCUCUUUUCUUUUCAUUAGAAUUACCAAUUCCAUUUUACUCCUAACUCCUAAGCCUGCUCUUUCCAGCUCUCUGGCUCAUAGCUCUGAAGAGUGACAUCAGAGUCUUCUUCGGAGAGCAAAGCCCACCACCAUCUGUGAAGGAGGAAAGAAACGAGAGACGGGGAUUUUCCCCCAACCAGUGCCAAAAAUACGCCUUUAGGUUGCUAUUUACACACCAGGGCGUUGAGUGCCUCUAGCAGGCCCAAGAAAUGCAGGACUCACAGGAACCCGAACAAGGGGCAAGACGUGGGCUGGUGCUCAGCCCCUCUGGGGCUUUUGAGAAACCAAGGGGAGGCCAGCCAUGGCCUUGCAACCAAUUCGAGAGACUCGGGAUAUGCCAGGAAACGUGAGAGCCCUCCAAACCGUCCUCUCUGAGUGAGGAACAAACGCUCACUUGGUGUGUACUCAGCUAUCGCGUUUACAGGGACAAAACCAGACACAGAGAAAAAGGAGGGGAAAAAAAUUAAGAGUGGCAGUAAAAAUAGUACUUUAUUCCGCUCCCU
Molecule: long non-coding RNA, 1568 nt
Organism: Zalophus californianus (California sea lion)
Lineage: Eukaryota; Metazoa; Chordata; Mammalia; Carnivora; Otariidae
Exons: 4
Source: RefSeq, a predicted model, not a curated record